UUUGAGGGGACUGUUGUCUGGCUCGAAGACUCUAAUUCUAAUCUCAGAUCUGAUGAUUUGAUUAGGAUUUUUAGUGUCUUCGGACCAGGCUUCAUUCCCCCCAAU
MicroRNA precursor from Arabis alpina (gray rockcress), 105 nucleotides. It matches the Rfam family "mir-166 microRNA precursor family". From Rfam's summary of the family: This family represents the plant microRNA (miRNA) precursor mir-166. Animal miRNAs are transcribed as ~70nt precursors and subsequently processed by the Dicer enzyme to give a ~22nt product. Lineage: Eukaryota; Viridiplantae; Streptophyta; Magnoliopsida; Brassicales; Brassicaceae. The record is from Rfam.